UUGCUUGCUUUGGCAGCACAUACACAAAAAAUGGACUGAUACGGAGAAGAUCAGCAUGGUCUCUGAGCAAAACUGACAGGCAAACUCGUGAAGGGAUCCACAUUUUA
Mesocricetus auratus (golden hamster) is the source of this 107-nucleotide small nuclear RNA. NCBI's taxonomy places the organism in Eukaryota, Metazoa, Chordata, Mammalia, Rodentia, Cricetidae. The record is from Ensembl.